This 565-nucleotide ribosomal RNA is filed under the name uncultured bacterium. RNAcentral's name for it is "bacterial SSU rRNA". It matches the Rfam family "Bacterial small subunit ribosomal RNA", at positions 338 to 917 of the family's 1533-position model. The record is from RNAcentral.
CCUACGGGAGGCAGCAGUGGGGAAUAUUGGACAAUGGGGGAAACCCUGAUCCAGCAAUGCCGCGUGAGUGAUGAAGGCCUUAGGGUUGUAAAGCUCUUUUACCAGGGAUGAUAAUGACAGUACCUGGAGAAUAAGCUCCGGCUAACUCCGUGCCAGCAGCCGCGGUAAUACGGAGGGAGCUAGCGUUGUUCGGAAUUACUGGGCGUAAAGCGCACGUAGGCGGUUACUCAAGUCAGAGGUGAAAGCCCGGGGCUCAACCCCGGAACUGCCUUUGAAACUAGGUAACUAGAAUCCUGGAGAGGUGAGUGGAAUUCCGAGUGUAGAGGUGAAAUUCGUAGAUAUUCGGAAGAACACCAGUGGCGAAGGCGGCUCACUGGACAGGUAUUGACGCUGAGGUGCGAAAGACGUGGGGAGCAAACAGGAUUAGAUACCCUGGUAGUCCACGCCGUAAACGAUGAUAACUAGCUGUCCGGGCGACAUGGUGUUUGGGUUGGCGCAGCUAACGCAUUAAGUUAUCCGCCUGGGGAGUACGGUCGCAAGAUUAAAACUCAAAGGAAUUAGACGG